This 180-nucleotide ribosomal RNA is filed under the name uncultured bacterium. RNAcentral's name for it is "partial 16S ribosomal RNA". It matches the Rfam family "Bacterial small subunit ribosomal RNA", at positions 1323 to 1500 of the family's 1533-position model. The record is from RNAcentral.
AAGCUGGAGUUACUAGUAAUCGCAGAUCAGAAUGCUGCGGUGAAUGCGUUCCCGGGUCUUGUACACACCGCCCGUCACACCACGGAAGUUGGGGGCGCCCGAAGCCACUUAUCUAACCCUUUCGGGAAGCGAGUGUCGAAGGUGAAAUCAAUAACUGGGGUGAAGUCGUAACAAGGUAGC